RNA transcript from Panicum virgatum (switchgrass), 1291 nucleotides. RefSeq lists it as uncharacterized. The transcript is spliced from 7 exons. The record is from RefSeq and is a predicted model, not a curated record. Lineage: Eukaryota; Viridiplantae; Streptophyta; Magnoliopsida; Poales; Poaceae.
CAGCUCCGCCGCCGCGACCCUCGCCCCCCUCGCCUCUGCCUCCGCCGGCCUCCCCCUCCCCCGCCUUCGACCGCCCCCUCCGGCAGCGACGCGCAUCACCUGGCUGCUCGUCCUCGCCGGUCCUUUGUUCUCCUUCGAUGGAUCGGACUGACUCUAACCUAGGGGUCAGGCGGUUCGAUCCACUGCGUCGCAUCUCCCUUCCGAGCAGCGGCGGCGGCAGCGGGCGCUCACGGAGACGAUGCUAGGUUCUCCGCCGGUGACCAGCCACGAAGAUCCCUGCCGCGCUCCACCGUCUCGUCGAGCCCAUCCACUCCGGCAGCUGCCCCAUUCCCCGCCGACUGCCCUGUGCCACCAGUGCCUUUUGCGUCAUCCUCGUCGGUGCCUUCGAGAGCUUCUACAGGUCGGUCUCCUCCCUGAACCAGCAGCUUACAGUUCAUGGUUGCGAUUGACCAAUUGUGAAGCUCCAUUAUUGGGUGGAGUCCUAUGCUAAUCCAGGGUGCUCACAAAUUCGACGUGCUGAAUAGUCUCAUUGGCUACUCAAUCAUGGGAGCUAAUAUUCAUCAUAUUUUCUAUUUCUGUCCAAUACUAGUAGUACCCAAGCUGCAGCUUCAGAGGGAGGAUCGCCUUGCUACAACCUUGCCUCCAGGUGGACCUACAUAUAAAGGAUGAGUCCUGGAUCUUAAUGUGCAGUACUGAACAAUCUGAGGAUGGGCAUUUGUUGAUGUUAACUACGGGGGAAUCUCGGGUCUUCUACUCAUUACAUAUGUGCAUUGCAAUGAACUAUAUAUUUGCAGUGAUGCUUAUUUUUUUUCAUACAAUACUUGAGCUGAGGCCAGUGUUUUAAAAAACGUUUUUAAACGUCGUUUAAUCUUGAUUAAAUGCUGAACGGUGGCCAAGCGUUGCAUUUAAUCACAGUGUCAUUUAAUCACAACACAUGUUUAAUCAUGUUCAAUCUACGUUUAAUCACAAAAAACUUUAAACCAUAGGCAAGCCUUCGCCUAGCGUCUAGCGUUUUUUAAAACCUUGGCUGAGGCAUUUGCAUUUAGUAUUUUUUGUGAUGUAGAUCAAUUUUAGUAUGCCUUUACUUCAAUUUUAGUCAAAUUGGGCCUCCGGUCAUGUACAACUACUUGUGAAUGCAGCUAUCUUUUUUCUUUUUUCCAUUAGAGGUUGCGGUAGUGCGUGAAUGUAACUAUAUACUCAUUAGAGGUGACUGUGAUCUGAGUGUAUGGAUGUAACUAUAUGUAUGCAUGUAUAAAAUAAAAGUAUAGAAUGUAUUUUGAUUUUUUUUGUU